AAACUGAAGAGUUUGAUCAUGGCUCAGAUUGAACGCUGGCGGCAAGCCUCAUACAUGCAAGUCGAGCGAGAACGUUACUUCGGUAGCUAGUAAAGCGGCGGACGGGUGAGUAACGCGUAGGAAUCUACCUUUCAGCGGGGGAUAGCUCGGGGAAACCCGAAUUAAUACCGCAUACACCCUAAGGGGGAAAGAGGGCCUAUCCUUGGAAGCUCUCGCUGUUAGAUGAGCCUGCGUGAGAUUAGUUUGUUGGUGGGGUAAUGGCCUACCAAGACUACGAUCUCUAGCUGGUCUGAGAGGACGAUCAGCCACACUGGGACUGAGACACGGCCCAGACUCCUACGGGAGGCAGCAGUAGGGAAUAUUGGACAAUGGGGGCAACCCUGAUCCAGCUAUGCCGCGUGUGUGAAGAAGGCUCUAGGGUUGUAAAGCACUUUAGGUAAGGACGAAAAGAAUAUAGUUAAUACCUAUAUUCCGUGACUUAACUUACAGAAUAAGGACCGGCUAACUCCGUGCCAGCAGCCGCGGUAAUACGGAGGGUCCAAGCGUUAAUCGGAAUUACUGGGCGUAAAGCGCGCGUAGGCGGUUUGUCAAGUUGGAUGUGAAAUCCCUGGGCUCAACCUAGGAACUGCAUUCAAAACUUAUAGACUAGAGUACGAUAGAGGAGAGUAGAAUUCCUGGUGUAGCGGUGAAAUGCGUAGAUAUCAGGAGGAAUACCAAUGGCGAAGGCAACUCUCUGGAUCGACACUGACGCUGAGGUGCGAAAGCGUGGGUAGCAAACAGGAUUAGAUACCCUGGUAGUCCACGCCGUAAACGAUGAGAACUAGCCGUUGGAUCUUAGAUUCAGUGGUACAGCUAACGCAUUAAGUUCUCCGCCUGGGGAGUACGGCCGCAAGGCUAAAACUCAAAUGAAUUGACGGGGGCCCGCACAAGCGGUGGAGCAUGUGGUUUAAUUCGAUGCAACGCGAAAAACCUUACCAACCCUUGACAUCUAGUGAAAUUUCUAGAGAUAGAUUUGUGCCUUCGGGAACACUAUGACAGGUGUUGCAUGGCUGUCGUCAGCUCGUGUCGUGAGAUGUAUGGUUAAGUCCAGUAACGAGCGCAACCCCUAUUCUUAUUUGCCAGCACUUCGGGUGGGAACUAUAAGGAGACCGCCGUGUAUAACACGGAGGAAGGCGGGGACGACGUCAAGUCAUCAUGGCCCUUACGGGUUGGGCUACACACGUGCUACAAUGGGAGAUACAGAUGGUUGCGAAAGCGCGAGCUGGAGCUAAUCCCAAAAAGUCUUCCUCAGUCCGGAUUGGAGUCUGCAACUCGACUCCAUGAAGCAGGAAUCGCUAGUAAUCGUGAAUCAGAAUGUCACGGUGAAUACGUUCUCGGGCCUUGUACACACCGCCCGUCACGUCAUGGGAGUGUGUUGCACCAGAAGUGGUUUGCCUAACCUUUGGAGGGCGGCCCCCACGGUGUGAUACGCGACUGGGACGAAGUCGUAACAAGGUAGCCCUAGGGGAACCUGGGGCUGGAUCACCUCCUAA
This 1532-nucleotide ribosomal RNA is filed under the name Pseudomonadota bacterium. RNAcentral's name for it is "bacterial SSU rRNA". It matches the Rfam family "Bacterial small subunit ribosomal RNA". RNAcentral also lists the same sequence under 1 other name. The record is from RNAcentral. Lineage: Bacteria; Pseudomonadati; Pseudomonadota.